CGUAGGGUGCGAGCGUUGUCCGGAUUUAUUGGGCGUAAAGAGCUUGUAGGCGGUUUGUCACGUCGGGAGUGAAAACUCAGGGGCUUAACCCUGAGCCUGCUUCCGAUACGGGCGAGACUUGAGGAAGGUAGGGGAGAUCGGAAUUCCUGGUGGAGCGGUGGAAUGCGCAGAUAUCAGGAGGAACACCAGUGGCGAAGGCGGAUCUCUGGACCUUUCCUGACGCUGAGAAGCGAAAGCGUGGGGAGCAAACAGGCUU
RNAcentral lists this ribosomal RNA (256 nucleotides) under uncultured bacterium. RNAcentral describes it as "partial 16S ribosomal RNA". It matches the Rfam family "Bacterial small subunit ribosomal RNA", at positions 526 to 779 of the family's 1533-position model. The record is from RNAcentral.